This 90-nucleotide transfer RNA is filed under the name Candidatus Effluviviaceae Genus V sp. RNAcentral's name for it is "tRNA-Leu". It matches the Rfam family "tRNA". Rfam says of the family: Transfer RNA (tRNA) molecules are approximately 80 nucleotides in length. Lineage: Bacteria; Candidatus Effluviviacota; Candidatus Effluviviaceae. The record is from RNAcentral.
GCCGGGGUGGCGAAACUGGUAGACGCAUCGGACUUAAAAUCCGUCGAGGCGUCAUGCCUCGUGCCGGUUCGAGCCCGGCCCCCGGCACCA